Molecule: ribosomal RNA, 832 nt
Filed under: Mycobacterium tuberculosis
Lineage: Bacteria; Bacillati; Actinomycetota; Actinomycetes; Mycobacteriales; Mycobacteriaceae
Description: bacterial SSU rRNA
Rfam family: Bacterial small subunit ribosomal RNA
Source: RNAcentral
GGGUGAUCUGCCCUGCACUUCGGGAUAAGCCUGGGAAACUGGGUCUAAUACCGGAUAGGACCACGGGAUGCAUGUCUUGUGGUGGAAAGCGCUUUAGCGGUGUGGGAUGAGCCCGCGGCCUAUCAGCUUGUUGGUGGGGUGACGGCCUACCAAGGCGACGACGGGUAGCCGGCCUGAGAGGGUGUCCGGCCACACUGGGACUGAGAUACGGCCCAGACUCCUACGGGAGGCAGCAGUGGGGAAUAUUGCACAAUGGGCGCAAGCCUGAUGCAGCGACGCCGCGUGGGGGAUGACGGCCUUCGGGUUGUAAACCUCUUUCACCAUCGACGAAGGUCCGGGUUCUCUCGGAUUGACGGUAGGUGGAGAAGAAGCACCGGCCAACUACGUGCCAGCAGCCGCGGUAAUACGUAGGGUGCGAGCGUUGUCCGGAAUUACUGGGCGUAAAGAGCUCGUAGGUGGUUUGUCGCGUUGUUCGUGAAAUCUCACGGCUUAACUGUGAGCGUGCGGGCGAUACGGGCAGACUAGAGUACUGCAGGGGAGACUGGAAUUCCUGGUGUAGCGGUGGAAUGCGCAGAUAUCAGGAGGAACACCGGUGGCGAAGGCGGGUCUCUGGGCAGUAACUGACGCUGAGGAGCGAAAGCGUGGGGAGCGAACAGGAUUAGAUACCCUGGUAGUCCACGCCGUAAACGGUGGGUACUAGGUGUGGGUUUCCUUCCUUGGGAUCCGUGCCGUAGCUAACGCAUUAAGUACCCCGCCUGGGGAGUACGGCCGCAAGGCUAAAACUCAAAGGAAUUGACGGGGGCCCGCACAAGCGGCGGAGCAUGUGGAUUAA